Molecule: ribosomal RNA, 460 nt
Filed under: uncultured bacterium
Lineage: Bacteria
Description: partial 16S ribosomal RNA
Rfam family: Bacterial small subunit ribosomal RNA
Source: RNAcentral
ACUACGGGUGGCUGCAGUGAGGAAUAUUGGUCAAUGGGCGCGAGCCUGAACCAGCCAAGUAGCGUGAAGGAUGACUGCCCUACGGGUUGUAAACCUCUUUUAUAAAGGAGUAAAGUGAGGCACGUGUGCCUUUUUGUAUGUACUUUAUGAAUAAGCAUCGGCUAACUCCGUGCCAGCAGCCGCGGUAAUACGGAGGAUCCGAGCGUUAUCCGGAUUUAUUGGGUUUAAAGGGAGCGUAGAUGGGUUGUUAAGUCAGGGGUGAAAGUUUGGGGCUCAACCGUAAAAUUGCAAUUGAUACUGGCAGUCUUGAGUACAGUUGAGGUAGGCGGAAUGCGUGGUGUAGCGGUGAAAUGCAUAGAUAUCACGAAGAACUCCGAUUGCGAAGGCAGCUUACUAACCUGCCACUGACAUUGAUGCUCGAAAGUGUGGGUAUCGAACAGGAUUAGAUACCCCAGUAGUC